Molecule: transfer RNA, 69 nt
Filed under: Bos taurus (domestic cattle)
Lineage: Eukaryota; Metazoa; Chordata; Mammalia; Artiodactyla; Bovidae
Also listed under: 1 other name
Rfam family: tRNA
About the family: Transfer RNA (tRNA) molecules are approximately 80 nucleotides in length. Their secondary structure includes four short double-helical elements and three loops (D, anti-codon, and T loops). Further hydrogen bonds mediate the characteristic L-shaped molecular structure. tRNAs have two regions of fundamental functional importance: the anti-codon, which is responsible for specific mRNA codon recognition, and the 3' end, to which the tRNAs corresponding amino acid is attached (by aminoacyl-tRNA synthetases). tRNAs cope with the degeneracy of the genetic code in two manners: having more than one tRNA (with a specific anti-codon) for a particular amino acid; and 'wobble' base-pairing, i.e. permitting non-standard base-pairing at the 3rd anti-codon position.
Source: Rfam by way of RNAcentral
CCUGGUGGCUCAGAGGUUAAAGCGUCUGCCUGCAAUGCGGGAGACCUGGGUUCAAUCCCUGGAUCAGGA